This is a long non-coding RNA of Anguilla anguilla (European eel), 1779 nucleotides long. RefSeq lists it as uncharacterized. The record is from RefSeq and is a predicted model, not a curated record. Lineage: Eukaryota; Metazoa; Chordata; Actinopteri; Anguilliformes; Anguillidae. The transcript has 8 exons.
CAGGGGAAAGGUUCAAUCAAAUCAUUUCCUGCAAAAUGCUGCCGGGAAGUCUCCUGUUUUUCCGAGAAUUCUAAGGGCACUCACCUUUGAUGAUUGGCUCAGAAGUAAACAGACCAAGGAGCAAACAGACCAAUCAGUGCUGACGGAACACUGGUGUGCGAACCCAAGAGCCCUUCUUCAAGCUCGGAAAGGCAUCGAUGGGCUUAACUGUUGAAAACAAGCACGGUAUAUCUGUUGCAAAACUGCUUCAUCACUGGACAGGCUCUGGUGGUUCUGGUGCUCUCCACGUGUAUCCAGUGUGACCAGUAUCAGUACCUGGAGAGGGGGGUUUUGGUUAUGGCAGGUACCUGCAGGUGGUCUCGGAGCAGGGUACCAGUCUGGAUACAGAGACCACAGUCACCUCAGGCAUUCAUCGCCAGUGACCGACCUUCAAACAACAGGAAACUAAAGCAACCGUGCCGAAAUUUUUUAAAAAUAAAACUGCCUUCGCAGCAUAACAGAAAUAGAUCUGCUGUAUGGACACUGCACUUUACCAAGCACCUUUUUCCGGCUCUCACCAACUACAAGAGCAGUCCAGAAUGUGCCGGAAUGUUACCUGGGACAGAAGAGGUUCCUGUGUGCCUCCUGAGGGCAGACUGGGGGUCCUGUCUGUUCAUACCUGUGGAAUGCACACACACAUACGCGGGAUGGAGAAAGGACUGAAUGUACCCGUCGGGUUGUUCCUGCAGCUAGAGAAACUGAAGGAAACGGUGUCUGUGCUGUUUUCUGAGAGCAGUGAUGGUGUGGACGGUCAUCAUACCUUGAGCUGGCCACUGCACAGUAAGCUGCAGAAAUAUGCUACUGGAAUAAAGUUCAGAUCCACACUGUCCUGGGAGGGAGUGACCGAACAGAGCAGGUGAACAGCAUUCCAUGACUGGGAGGAUGCAGAUGUUCGUGGAUAUCUAAAGAAGAACAACGCUGUGGUGUACAAGCUGUAAUCAGAGCAACACUUAACUGCAACAUGGUCAGGAUCUCGCCUCAGCUACACAGCUGUGGCAAGCAAAUGAGUCUAAACCUUUCUAAAAAUAAAGUGAACCUUGCUUUCAAAGGGCUUUCAAAAGUGAGACAGGAGAAUCUUUUUUUAAUAAGGAACACACAGCUAAAGCUGUGGAGUGCAGAGCUGUUUCUCUGUCAAACAGUGCUCACAUAUGAAGCGUAAAAUAUCCACUCCAUCUGCACACUGAUGCAAAAAAAUUGUCGAUACAUUAACUGAUUAUUUUUGGCAGGUACUGGAAUGUUAUCAAGAUUGCCUUUGGUUUGCUUGAAUGUUCACUGAUUUGUAUGAAUGGGCACUGGAUUAAAUAUGUAUUAUGUAUGACAAAGACACCCUGCUUUCACUCCGGGCUUUUCUGAUGUACAAUCAACAGGUUUCAUUCUGGACUCACCAAGGCAACAGAAUUGCAAUUACUGUCUGAUAAAAGUCCUCCUCUCCUCUCACCUGUUGAAACUGAAGUUUGGCGUGUGGGAGUGUAGUCCAGCGUAGACGGAUAUAGGACUCCCUUCCUUGGCUUGCCGACUGUAAAAGACGACCAUAACCACAACCACAACAAGCUGAGGUCUGCUACUGGAUGAUAUACUGUACCACAUCUCAAAGUCAUUCCUGACCUCCUGGAACCCAUGUUAAAUGUAUUUUCGUAUUUAUGAUCACUUUUAUACUCUUAAAGCGCCCACCAGCACAAAGAACUAUAAUAAUAAUGAAAUAAAAAUGUAUCGGUUGUUUCCCUUUUUUGGGAAAGUUGU